UAGAGUUUGAUCCUGGCUCAGAGCGAACGCUGGCGGCGUACUUAACACAUGCAAGUCGAACGAGGAUCAUCCGUGUAGCAAUACAUAGGUGGUCCUAGUGGCGCACGGGUGAGUAACACGUGGGUAACCUGCCCUUGAGUUCGGGAUACCCCCUCGAAAGGGGGGCUAAUACCGGAUACGUUCCUUGGAUCGACAGGUCUGGGGAGGAAAGGUGGCGCAAGCUGCCGCUCUUGGAGGGGCUCGCGGCCUAUCAGCUAGUUGGCGGGGUAACGGCCCACCAAGGCUAUGACGGGUAGCUGGUCUGACAGGACGACCAGCCACGCGGGGAGUGAAACACGGGCCCGACUCCUACGGGAGGCAUCACUGGGGACCUUUCCACAAUGGGACAAAGCCCUGACUAAGUAGACGCCGUGGGUGGGAUAAAAAGGUU
RNAcentral lists this ribosomal RNA (430 nucleotides) under uncultured bacterium. Its description in RNAcentral is "bacterial SSU rRNA". It matches the Rfam family "Bacterial small subunit ribosomal RNA", at positions 1 to 418 of the family's 1533-position model. The record is from RNAcentral.